This 279-nucleotide unclassified non-coding RNA is filed under the name plant metagenome. RNAcentral describes it as "partial contains small subunit ribosomal RNA, internal transcribed spacer 1, and 5.8S ribosomal RNA". The record is from RNAcentral.
UCUCCGUAGGUGAACCAGCGGAGGGAUCAUUACAGAUUUGCAAAAUUUCCAAACCAUUGUGAACGUUACCUAUCCCGUUGCUUCGGCGGGCGGCCCGGGUCCUGCGCCCGGCCCCCCCCGGCACCCCGAUGGCGCCCGCCGGUGGUAGACCAAACCCUUGAAUUGCCUGGCCUCUCUGAGUCUUCCGUAAUCGAUAAUCUAAAACUUUCAACAAAUGAACACCUGGUUCUGGCAUCGAAGCAGAACGCAGCAGAUCGGAAGAGCAGACGUCUCAACUCC